Molecule: ribosomal RNA, 1346 nt
Filed under: uncultured bacterium
Lineage: Bacteria
Description: bacterial SSU rRNA
Rfam family: Bacterial small subunit ribosomal RNA
Source: RNAcentral
AGAGUUUGAUCCUGGCUCAGGAUGAACGCUGGCGGCGUGCUUAACACAUGCAAGUCGAACGGAAAGGCCUUGUGCUUGCACAAGGUACUCGAGUGGCGAACGGGUGAGUAACACGUGGGUGAUCUGCCCUGCACUGUGGGAUAAGCCUGGGAAACUGGGUCUAAUACCAUAUAGGACCACAUCUUGGAUGGUGUGGUGGAAAGCUUUUGCGGUGUGGGAUGAGCCUGCGGCCUAUCAGCUUGUUGGUGGGGUAAUGGCCUACCAAGGCGGCGACGGGUAUCCGGCCUGAGAGGGUGUACGGACACAUUGGGACUGAGAUACGGCCCAGACUCCUACGGGAGGCAGCAGUGGGGAAUAUUGCACAAUGGGCGCAAGCCUGAUGCAGCGACGCCGCGUGGGGGAUGAAGGCCUUCGGGUUGUAAACUCCUUUCGCUAUCGACGAAGCCUUCGGGUGACGGUAGGUAGAUAAGAAGCACCGGCUAACUACGUGCCAGCAGCCGCGGUAAUACGUAGGGUGCAAGCAUUGUCCGGAAUUACUGGGCGUAAAGAGCUCGUAGGUGGUUUGUCGCGUCGUCUGUGAAAUCCCGGGGCUUAACUUCGGGCGUGCAGGCGAUACGGGCAUAACUUGAGUGCUGUAGGGGAGACUGGAAUUCCUGGUGUAGCGGUGAAAUGCGCAGAUAUCAGGAGGAACACCGAUGGCGAAGGCAGGUCUCUGGGCAGUUACUGACGCUGAGGAGCGAAAGCAUGUGUAGCGAACAGAAUUAGAUACCCUGGUAGUCCAUGCCGUAAACGGUGGGCGAUCGGUGUAGGGGGGGUACAAAUAAAUUAUAACAGUAGAAAAAACAAUAAGCGCCCCGCCUGGGGAGUACGGCCACAAGAAUAAAAAUCAAAAGAAAAGACGGGGGGCCGCACAAAAAGCGGAGCAAAAGGAUAAAUAAAAAGCAACGCGAAGAACAAUACCUAGGCUGGACAUAUACAGGAUCGGGCUAGAGAUAGUCUUUCCCUUGUGGUCUGUAUACAGAAGGUGCAUGGUGGUCGUCAGCUCGCGUCGUGAGAUGUUGGGUUAAGUCCCGCAACGAGCGCAACCCUUGUCUUAUGUUGCCAGCACGCUAUGGUGGGAACUCAUGAGAGACUGCCGGGGUUAACUCGGAGGGAGGUGGGGAGGACGUCAAAUCAUCAUGCCCCCUAUGUCCAGGGCUUCACACAUGCUACAAUGGUCGAUACAGUGGGCAGCGACAUCGUAAGGUGGAGCGAAUCCCUGAAAGUCGGCCUUAGUUCGGAUUGGGGUGUGCAACUCGACCCCACGAAGUCGGAGUCGCUAGUAAUCGCAGAUCAGCAAUGCUGCG